CACUGCGUAAUAUAUUGUAUAAAUGCAGAAUAAAAGGGCUGAAAGGCCAUAAGGUUCAAAUAUCUGAUGAAACAAAACAUCUGGAAAUACUGUAUAUCAAUACCAAACUAAAAUAAACUGUCUGAACAUAUUAGUAUGAAAGCCUCUAAACUGUCUGAAAACUAUGGAGUUAAUGGGACAUGUCCCCAAAUAACUCCGUCUACUAAAACUAAAAUAAUGAAAUAAUCAUGCAAUCCAAUAAUGAUGGGGACUCACUUCAAAUCUACUGCUGCUGGCCGAAUCUGAAGCUAAGAAUGAUCGGGAAUGUGAGUGUCCGAACUUAUGGUAUAAAAUACCAUAGUGCAGAAGAAAAGUAUGCGUCAGUAUGUUUGAAUAUACUGGUAUGCAAAGUGAGGUAGGCUAAAUUCAUGAGGUUCAUAUGCAUGAACAAUACUAACUGACUGAAUAACAUGAAUGUGAGAAUACAUACAUAAAUACGUAACUGUAAAUGAAAUCAUGAUAAUACUAACUACAGAGUCUGAAUACUCAUAACAUUAGUUUCAUAUAACUAAUAUACUAAUAACUGAGUGACUAUGUCUGACAGUCCUGAUUCUAAUGGAAAUAGCCGAGUUCCCUAUGAACUGAGUGACUAUAUCUGACAAUCCUAAAUCUGAAGAACUAUCUGAGUUCUUUUAUUAAGACUAAGGCUGAGAUUGCAGGAAGUAGUCAUCUAACCAACAUGCCCCUUUUAUGUAUAGAGUUGGGCUCCAAUCUGUAACCCCAAUUGGAAGGGUGUCAAUACCGUGCCACUAGUAAGGACAAGCUGUGAGUGACCCUCAUCUGGUAGUAUCCCCAAAGGAGAACGGUGAGACUCUCAUCUGGAAGUGUUAAUCCACCUCAUCAGUCCUCAACUGUCAGUGUUGAUGUCUCAACCUAUGCUAGCUACAUAGUUCUAGAACGCAAAGAUUUCUUCUAAGGAUCACACCCUCUACUGUCAAUGUGUGCCCUCAUCCUUGGGUUUGCUCGGUGCUGUAUCCUACUCCCAACUGAAUAGAUAAUAAACUGAUUAUACUUAGAUGAACUGGAAUGAGUUCACUAAAUUCCAUAGACUAGCGGAAUAUUACUGAAUUCUAUUAACUAACUGAGUUCAUAAGAUUACUGAGUUUUCCUGAGUCAUGUAACUGGCUAAAUUCUACUGAGUUCUAAAACUGAUUAGGAAUACUAGUGAUCAUGGCGUGACUGAGAUUAUCAUGAAAAUGAAACUGUAUCUAGGCACACAGCUAAAUUAUCAGGUAUUGAAUACCCCCAGGACUCGAUAGCAUGAAAAUAAACAGGACAUGAUACUUCUUGAGCUCAUAACAAUUGCUAACAAUUCAUAAUACAACCAUUGAGGGAUUUCAUGAUGCACUUGAUACUCAUAGUAUUGUACAUGAAUAUGAAUACAUUUCAACAUAUGAUAAGUUUACAAUCUAGUCUCAUGAACACUCCAUCAAUUCAUCACAAGACAUAACAUUAGUAUGGGAGUCAUUUUGUACAUAUAGUUAUAGCCUAAGUUCAUCAUGUAAAUCAGUAAGGGUUCAUAAAACACAAUUCUACUCACUUAGGCAUUUUGUCAUACAUAUGGAAUGCAUAUACUUAGGCUUAGGCAUGAACAUUAAGCAGUUACAUCAUGGCUACAUUAAUCAACCCAAUUUCAUGAAAUUCAUUCCACAUGCUAACAGAAUAUCAUGAAAACACACUAAAGAUUCCAACUUGGGAAUCAUAAAACACAUCAACAUGAUCAUAAUCAAUCCACAACAUGAAUAUCAAAAUUUAUAAUUUAAAAUUUAGAUCCUUGGAAUCCUAGUAUGAAAGGGAUCCUUAGAUGAAUACUUUACAUACCUUAGAUGGAAGUUUCUUUGAGAUUGAGGGAGGAAAGCUUAAAUUCUUAACUUGAAUUUAAUCACCUAGGAUUUCUUGUUCUUGAGAAAUUGUUGAAUAAAGAAUGUAUUUAGCCAAAAGAGGGCUAAAUUUCGUGUUUAUGAGAGCUAAAGGUUGGGGAAAAUGACCUAAUUGCCCUUAAGAAUGCAGUCAUUUAGUGACUAAAACUAGGCACCGACGCGUUGAGCGACGCGUCGAUGGCUUCAACGUGAUACCCAAUACGUCGUGCCAAGCCUUAGUAGUUUUGACUCUGGUAACCUGCAACAAUGUUAACCAACGUGAUAGGCGAUGUGGCGCGCUAAGAUUGUGUUGGUCCACUAUUUUGGGACACCAAACGUGGUCUAAACGAGUUCCAAAAAAUCUAAAACUUGUCUGAGAACGCCUAUCGACCUCUCUGAUCAUGAAUUAACAAAAAUAUAGACCAUUAAGGGACAUUAUGGUCACCAAAUGAGAUUGCCAACUUUCAAAGGCGAAAAAUAAACUAAGUAUAGGAACUUAGCUAGAAUUUUCUAAGUCUGAGACCCCUUGACAAGCCUUAAAGGAUGAAUUAAGCUUAGAAAUUUUUCGGAGUCUUACAGGGGAGGGAGUCAACAUACAUAGGCUCAUAUUUUAAUGCGUUGUAGACCCCAUAAUACCCGUGGGGUUACAAUUCUUUAGUUUAAAUUAUAUAUAUAUAUAUAUAUAUAUAUAUAUGUAUGGAAGCUACAUAAUAAGAGAGACUAUAAUUUAUAACAAUUUUCUAAACAUGUCUCACGAGUGCAGUUCAAAUCUUCUUCUUUGUCAAAUAUAGUAAAUUACAUUGUAUAUUUAAGGGACAUCAUCACGUUUGCCUGAGAUCUUAUCUGUCAUUUUUAUUUUUUUGCAUAUCAUGUGAAGAAUCUUUUAGCGAGAACAUUUAUUUGGUUAUACAGUUUGGUGUAUUCAAUGUACACUGAAAAGUAAACAAAGUUGGAAAUUAAUUCCCUUUUCGAGCAGCAUUUUAAGAGAAUGUGCCAUACCUCUAGUGUGUGGGAUAUGAAAAUCACUCCAUUAGAAUACACCAGUAACACUAGGCAUAGCCCGUGAUGGAUUAUUCUUUGCUGUAGGGUCUUCAUUGCUGGAAUCAUGGAAUAGGUGUCGAUGCUUGGUAUAGUAUUAUAUAAUCAUUUGAGUUGUUUUGCCUAUCAAAGGCCGAGAAUUCUUUCAGUUUAGAAUUAACUCAAAAACGUGGUUUGAAGGAAAAGGAAUAUGAGGAAAUAUUGGUAUGCUAUGAAUUGUGAUCAUGAUACAAGAGUUAGUAACUGCCAGUAAACUUAGGAUUCUUGGAGAUAUAAAUUUGGUAUGACAUAUUUAAUAUGGUCCUGCCUAUUCUAAUGUACACNNNNN
This 3264-nucleotide long non-coding RNA is filed under the name Capsicum annuum. RNAcentral's name for it is "long non-coding RNA (CANN_LNC005441)". The record is from RNAcentral. Lineage: Eukaryota; Viridiplantae; Streptophyta; Magnoliopsida; Solanales; Solanaceae.